Molecule: ribosomal RNA, 200 nt
Filed under: uncultured bacterium
Lineage: Bacteria
Description: partial 16S ribosomal RNA
Rfam family: Bacterial small subunit ribosomal RNA
Source: RNAcentral
AGCGAACGCUGGCGGCAGGCCUAACACACGCAAGUCGAACGCACCUUCGGGUGAGUGGCGGACGGGUGAGUAACACGUGGGAACGUACCUUUUGGUUCGGAAUAACGCAGGGAAACUUGUGCUAAUACCGAAUGUGCCCUUCGGGGGAAAGAUUUAUCGCCAUUAGAGCGGCCCGCGUUAGAUUAGCUAGUUGGUGAGGU